GAUGAAGAACGUAGCGAAAUGCGAUACGUAAUGUGAAUUGCAAAUUCAGUGAAUCAUCGAGUCUUUGAACGCACAUUGCGCCCCCUGGUAUUCCGGGGGGCAUGCCUGUCCGAGCGUCAUUGCUGCCCUCAAGCACGGCUUGUGUGUUGGGCCCCGUCCUCCGAUCCCGGGGGACGGGCCCGAAAGGCAGCGGCGGCACCGCGUCCGGUCCUCGAGCGUAUGGGGCUUUGUCACCCGCUCUGUAGGCCCGGCCGGCGCUUGCCGAUCAACCCAAAUUUUUAUCCAGGUUGUCCUCGGAUCAGGUAGGGAUACCCGCUGAACUUAAGCAUAUCAAUAAGCGGAGGA
Molecule: unclassified non-coding RNA, 345 nt
Filed under: soil metagenome
Description: partial contains 5.8S ribosomal RNA, internal transcribed spacer 2, and large subunit ribosomal RNA
Rfam family: 5.8S ribosomal RNA (bases 1-119)
Source: RNAcentral